AUUGAACGCUGGCGGCAGGCCUAACACAUGCAAGUCGAGCGGAUGAAGGGAGCUUGCUCCUGGAUUCAGCGGCGGACGGGUGAGUAAUGCCUAGGAAUCUGCCUGGUAGUGGGGGAUAACGUCCGGAAACGGGCGCUAAUACCGCAUACGUCCUUAGGGAGAAAGUUGGGGUUCUUCGGACCUCUCGCUAUCAUAUGUGCCUAUGUCGGAUUAGCUAGUUGGUUGGGUAAAGGCCUACCAAGGCGACGAUCCGUAACUGGUCUGAGAGGAUGAUCAGUCACUCUGGAACUGAGACACGGUCCAGACGCCUACGGGAGGCAGCAGUGGGGAAUAUUGGACAAUGGGCGAAAGCAUGAUCCAGACAUGCCGCGUGUGUGAAGAAGGUCUUCGGAUUGUAAAGCACUUUAAGUUGGGAGGAAGGGCAGUAAGUUAAUACCUUGCUGUUUUGACGUUACCAACAGAAUAAGCACCGGCUAACUUCGUG
Molecule: ribosomal RNA, 484 nt
Filed under: uncultured bacterium
Lineage: Bacteria
Description: partial 16S ribosomal RNA
Rfam family: Bacterial small subunit ribosomal RNA
Source: RNAcentral